GGAAUUUUUAAAGCUGUCCAUGUGAUUCCACUCUUCAGUCCCAGCUCAGAAUUCUGCUCCAAGAUCUCUGCAGACCUUGGGAAGAAAGGCUGAAGGAAGCCUUGCCCAGCAUUGUGCUCUGGGGGUCCAGUGACCGGGCAGCACGUCUGGGGGCUCACCUCCAUCCCCCCUCACCUAACAACACUCUGUGCCGGGGUGCCUGGCCCACAUCUACAAAUGGGUCCACAGGUGAUGCUGAAGCUGCAGCUCUGGAGACCUCACUCGGAGAACCACCGCCCUACAGGAAGCAAAGCCCAGAGAAUUCUUCCUGCUCUGGUAUUGUGGAAAUUUCUAUCAAAUUUCUGUAGCUAGAGACUUUCUCCUGUUAAACUACAGAUAAAUUUAGAAACAGAGAAAGUUAAGUUUGAUAGGGCCUCCCUGGUGGCUCAGACAGUAAAGAAUCUGCCUGCAAUGCAGGAGACCUGAGUUCAAUCCCUGGAUUGGAAAGAUCCCCUGGAGGAGGGCAUGGCAACCCACUCCAGUAUUCUUGACUAGAGAAUCUCAUGGACAGAGGAGCCUGUUAAGCUACAGUCCAUAGGGUCACAAAGAGUCAGAUGUGACUGAGCGACUAAGCAUACAAGUUUGAUAAGUAAUCAAAGCAUUUGAGAAAGGUUCAAUAGGGGAGUGGCACAAAUUCUUUGCUACCAAGAGAAAAGCAUACUGAGAUUUGUUUUUGGAAAAUGAAGGACACAGUUAAUGAUUGCUGUUAGUGUAAACAGAAAGGAUAAACUUUCAAAGUUCAAACUUCUCAUUCGCAGAGG
RNAcentral lists this long non-coding RNA (800 nucleotides) under Bos indicus x Bos taurus (hybrid cattle). Its description in RNAcentral is "lncRNA (ENSBIXG00000019382.1)". The record is from RNAcentral. Lineage: Eukaryota; Metazoa; Chordata; Mammalia; Artiodactyla; Bovidae.